GUUUUAUUUUCUCAGCAGACGGCGCCGACACUCCUGAUGUUAACGGUAAAAGUGGGAAAAUUUUACCUAUUGGUGAAUAUGUGUAAUACUUUCAAAGUAAUUACAUUACUUCCUGAUCUUAUUGAUGUGAUUACUGACAUUACAUUCCCUUUUCAGUUAAUUAUAUGAGCAAAUAUUAGUCCAAAUUAAAACAGUGAGUUGAAUAUCCACUGCACUGUUUAAUGUUUGAUUGGACAGUAGUUGUUAAUGUAUUUAUUUACUCUUAAGUAUUGUGUUUUUGUUUUGUUUUAAAUAUUUCAUGAUAUUUUGCUGCUAAAAAGAAGAGACAUUCCAGUUCAGUGGACAAUAAUGUUUCAUUUAAUCUGAUGAGAAACUGAUUAAAUGUUGAGUCAGACUGUGGUGAAGUCAGUGAUUGGCUGUGACUCACUAACAGUUUGUGUCUGACAGGAAAUGGUCGACAGACACUGCUGACAGACACAAAUACAGCGACUGAUCAAUUUGUUUCCUUCACUGAUCUUCAGACUGAGGUCACAGGUGGGGCAGACUCAGUGACCGGUCUUCAUGUUGACCUCACAGGUGAGACAGAUGGACUGAUGGAUCAAUACAGCAAUAGACUGAUCAAGAGUAUUGAUCACUGAUAGAAACCUAAAUCUGUGUUCUGAUUGGUUCCAGCGUCAGGUCUUGGACUCACCCAUGAUGUCACAGGUAAUACUUGUAACCACGACAAACACAUUUCCACCACAGCAGGAGUUGGUUUAAACUCACUUCCUGUCAUAUGAUCAUGUUACAGAAUCAACACCUGUCAUGCUUCACACAGGUACACCUGUCUGUCUGUUUCCUGUCUGUCUGUUCACCUGUCCAUCUGUGUGUCUGUGUUACCAUCUGAUUACCUGUCUGUCUGUCUUUGUGUCUGUUUGCUCACCUGUCUGUCUGUUCAUCUGUUUGUCCCUGUGUCCUUCAGCUUCAGGUGGCUCCGCCCACACAGACCUGGUUACAAUGGCAGCAGACUCCACAGGUACAGACUCAGGUCAUCCAGCUAUGACAGAUCACACACAGAUGGCUGGUUCAGUCACUGAACAGUACAACCCAUCUGGUCAGGGUCCUGAAGGUUCGUAUCACUCUGACCUCUGUUGGACAAAUUGUUUUUACUGUCCCAUAACAGAUUGUGAUUUUACUCUUCAGCCUGUAGACAAGCAAGUGAUUGAACCUUAACCCUAACCCUUUGGUCAAAUAAUAAAUGAUCUGAAGUUUGUGAUAUGAGUAACUGAAGUGUCUUCAUGGUUUAAACCAUCUUCGAUCCUUUAAGAUGUUUUAACUCCACAGUACUGUGUCAUUGAGACAUGCUGAUGAAGGUUCUCAGUCAUCCAAGUCAAGGUGCUGUACUGCAGUCAACUGGACUUGUUUCAGCUUCUUGAAGACGUUUCACGUCUCAUCCAAGAGGCUUCUUCAGUUCUGACUAACUGGAGGAGCUGCAUGCUUUUAAACUCUGUGUGUGGAGGCCAUGUCCACACAUUCCAAAACUAUCUUGUUUUCCUCCGUCUUCCUCGGAAUCGUUUCAAGAAUAUUUCCGUCCAAACGGAUCCAUUGUAAACGACUCAACACGCUGUAGUUCAUAUUCCAGGCCUAUAGGUGGCGCUUGAAAUUCACCAAAAACAGAGAAGAGGAGCUGGAGCAUGCACAUAAAGCUUGCAGGCUGUAUACAAACAGACAGUAGAAGUAGAAACUGAACACAACAAGAAGAAGAUGAAAAUGGCUAGUCAGUUGUCCAUAAUCCUUUUUCGCUCUGCGUAGUGGCAGAGGAGCAGAAUAUUGUGCCCUAGUAACCCUGAUAGGCUCAAUAUCUUCUGCGGCACGAACACAAGCAUGUAGUCCGCCAUUGUUGUAGUUGUUGUUAUGAGACGGAACAGGGUUAAGAGGUCGAAGGCUAGAGGUCGAGGGGUGGGGCGAUGGCAUCAUCGAUACGCAAAGUAUGCGGAUUCGCUGUCCACACGAGAACGCAAGAGCAGCGUUAUCAGAUUUUUCCACCCUGAGACCAGGUUUCGGAAAAGUGCAUUUACAGGAUCCAUGUGGACAGUCGGCCAAAACGAUGCAAAACAUGUGCGUUUACAUACAAAAGCGUUUCCGUGUGGGUGGCCCCUGAGUUUCAGAGUGGUAAGGUCCACUUAUGGGUUGCUGAGUCUCGCUGAGCCCAGGUGUCAAUUGCUGUUGAGCUGUCUGGGAAGAGAACUCAGUACAGCAUUGUAGGUGGUGAUAAGUGAUGUCUUAGGCCACCUCCUCUGGUCCUCUAAUGACUCUGACACUCAUGACUCACAUAUGUCCAUAACGACUCUGUAAGGACACUCCCACAGAGUUUAAAAGACAGCCUCCUCUUCUCCAGUUAGUUAGAACUGAAGAAGCCUCUUGCAAGAGAGGUGAAAUAUCCAGUUGACUACGAUACAGAACUUAGAUUCAUCGAGAUAUUGAUUUCUGAAUAUUGGAAUGUUAUAAAUAACAGAAGCAUUUCUGUUCAAACAAUUGAACUGAAGGUGUCUCAUUCAUAAAAAAAUCAAUUAUCAAUAAUCAGAUUCUGACUUCUCCAGGUUGAAUAAAUAAUUAAAUGAAAACUGGAUGAAUUACAGAGGCUGCUCUGACGUCUGGCGGUACAACAGUUAAACAAACUUUGCUCUGUUUCACUCUCCUCAUAUUACAGUUAAUAAUCAGACACAAAUACACAAAUGACCUCUUCAUCAUCCUGCAAACUGCCGAGUUUAGAAAAGACAAACAGCUUUAGAAAUACACUGAGUCUUCUUGUCACUCACUUCCAGAACAAAAUUACACGCUGACAAAUCAUUAUUAAAGGAGGUGGUGGUGCUCAUAAUGUUGUUGUCCACAGGGGGUGCCAGAAUCAACAAGAGUUCUUUAUAGCUGUUAAGUAUGAAAAGUAAGAGUUGUUGUGCAGAGUGCCACAUGUAGAGUCACAUCAGUCGGUGUGGACCACUCGUUUUGUCUGUAAAACAUUUAAUAAUGUCCGUCCAACAUUUGUUCGGCCAACAGAACAAAGACAAACACAUUGCAGUUUUUACAGUAACAGAAAUACGAAGUCGCAAAAGUUCAAACUGAACAUCAGAGUUAAAAAAAAUUAAAUGUCUAAAAAAGUCAAAUGUUAAAUCUCGUUGUCUUUCUGCCCCAGGUGCAGAAAAUGUGGAACUGGAGGAUACCUGCUGACUUCCACAUCAAGCCGCGAGUUAGAUUCCUGCGCUACAGAUUCCAGUGUACCGACCAAUCAGUAUGGCCCAGGAAAUCAAACCCCUCCCACUAGCUACUAGCCCCGCCGACUCUGUUGUUUUCAAUAUUUAAGGUUUUUUUUAUAGAAGUUUAUUUUGUUUUAGAGAAUCGCUGUAAGUGGAAAUUAAUAAAAAGAGUCAGCCGAACCUCCACCAACCAUGGCCGAUUCUGUUUUGAUGACAUCAUACAGGAUGUGACAUCAUCGUCACUGUCAGGAUUUUAAAUUUCUACAAUAAAUGUUUGGGUUUUCUUUUUCUAUUUUGAACAUCAAACUGAGGAUUCGUCUUUUGUCUGGACUGAUCAGUUCUUCAUCAACAACCUGAUGAGAUCAUCAUCAUCAGGUUGUUUAUGUCAAUAAGAUUAAAUCAUUUUUAAAAAAAAAUUGUUUUUACUUCAUUUGAUGAGAUAAGCUGCAUUUGAAGAACAUUAAAUAUAAAUCUGCAUGAGAGGUGACUUCUUGAAACAGAACAGAAAGUUUGGUUUUUACCUGAAACACUUUGUGGAAACACUCGUCGUCUCUUCUCAAAUCAUUUUCUAAUAAAUAAAUGUUCAUUCAGUGAUGAACUAUUAUUUAAAAUCCAGACGAAAUAUAAACUCAAUAUAAACAGGUUUCUUUUUAAUUUUCUGGAAUAAUUUUGUUUUUGUUAUCGAUGAACAUCUUAUUUUGUCCUGUUUGAAGAUGUUGAAGAAAACACAACUCACCACUGCGUAUUUCUAAUUUAUUAAUUUUAUUUGUUUUAUUUAAUAUUCAUAAAUGCAGAUUUACAUGUAAAAAGCUUCUCAAACAGAAUUCUGACUCUCGUCAAUUAAAAACUAUUAACAUGUCAUUUUUAUAUAAAAUCUUUAUGUCUUGUGUCUCCUCUGUAAACCAUCGUCACCUACAUGUAUUCCCAUCGUUGUUUGUUACACAGUACAUGUACAAUUAUGUGAGUAGGUUCUUAAACACUUGAACUUAUGUUCUGAAGUCAGAUCUUUGUUUGAACUCCUCGUCUGUCAGCUAGAUGAAACUGAUGAGUAAACACAGUUAACGACAGGCUUUUAUGCUGAAGGGCUUCCUGUUUGGAGGGAAGUGAAGCCGAUGAAUCUGUUCUGAAAAAAAGCUGAGUGGCUAAAAUGGAGGUAAGGAUGUCAAAACAACCGAUGAGUCCACAUAUAUAUAUUGAUCAUCUGUCAAUCAAGUUAAAGGAAGAACUUUGUUUUUCAUGAGAACGACUGCUGCUUUUACACCUUCAGUACAACCACCACAGAAUUAACAUUAUUUCCAUAGUGAGGAGCAGACCGACUGAUUCUGGACCCGGUCACUCACCAAACAUGAACAAUAAGACCAUUUUUAUUUUUGGUCUUUUGAGGUCAAAAUUUUAACGUUCAUUCACAAGCAUUAACUCUGUUUCCGUGGCAACACGUGAGGGUGGGACCAGAAACUGAAACAGUAAUCACAACCCCAUCAGACUCACAUGUAAUGGAGUCGCUGUUCACGGCUCCACAAAACAGGACGAACCUCAGCAACAGGACAUCAACUGGACCUCUCAGCUCAGCUGUUAGCCAGAAAGCUAACGUUAUGCUAGCAGUAAAUAUCAUGUGACAGGAAGUUUAACAACAACACAAGCUGACAGUCAUGUGACCGUCCUCAGAUCAAUAAGAAGAUCACAACAGGUGAUUGUCAAUGUUAUUGUGGCUCAGACUGAAGCAGAGAGCUGAACUGCCAAUCAGAUGCAAGAUCAUGUCAGCUGGUGUGUCACAGUGCCAUCCUGACUAAUAAUCUGAUUGAUCACCUGAUCGACUAUCUGAUUGAUCACCUAAUUGUUGGAUCUUAACGAGAGACAAGCGCAAACACACCGAUGAACAUGUUUAUUGUGGAUCAAUAUUGACUGAAUAGAUCAAAUCAAUGCAUCUCUUUCUGCUUCCAGGUCGUCUCCACGGUAACAGGGGUCACUCAUAAUAAACCUUUCUAAAGAUAGUGAUCAUCUCUUUGUUUUUCUAACGUUACACCUGAACACAAAGACAACCAAUCAACAUGCAGAACCCAGAGAACACCUGCUGACCUCUGAUUGGUUCUCUGAGUGUCAAACAAACAUUUUAAAUAAAGUAGCGAAUAACAACAAACAAAGCUAAAAUAAAGUGGUAGAAGAGGACACGGGUAUAUAAACUGGUUAAUAUUGAUCAAAAAUAAAAACAUGACCUAUUGAUUGAUCUACAGCUGAUCGAUUGAUUUCAUAUUGCUGCUGCUGAGUCAGCGCUCAGACUGUCCUGUUGCUAUGGUGACUGAUU
This 5532-nucleotide long non-coding RNA is filed under the name Sparus aurata (gilthead seabream). RNAcentral's name for it is "lncRNA (ENSSAUG00010006376.1)". The record is from RNAcentral. Lineage: Eukaryota; Metazoa; Chordata; Actinopteri; Spariformes; Sparidae.